This 423-nucleotide ribosomal RNA is filed under the name uncultured bacterium. Its description in RNAcentral is "partial 16S ribosomal RNA". It matches the Rfam family "Bacterial small subunit ribosomal RNA", at positions 360 to 776 of the family's 1533-position model. The record is from RNAcentral.
AAUUUUGGACAAUGGGGAAACCUUGAUCCUGCUAUCUCGCGUGUAUGAUAAAGUCCUUCGUGUUGUCAAGUACUGUUUGCUGAGAAGAAAAUGUAUCCCAUACUACGGGAUACUCCUGACGGUAUCCGCAGAAUAAGCACUGGCUAACUACGUGCCAGCAGCCGCGGUAAUACGUAUGGUGCAAGAGUUAAUCGGAAUUACUGGGCGUAAAGCGUGUGUAGGCGGUUCGGAAAGAAAGAUAUGAGAUCCCAGGGCUCAACCUUGGAACUGCAUUAUUAACUGCCGAGAUAGAGUAUGUCAGAGGGAUGUAGAAUUCCACGUGUAGCAGUGAGAUGCGUAGAUAUGUAGAGGAAUACCAAUGGCGAAGGCAGCCCCCUGGGAUAAUACUGUCGCUCAGACACGAAAGCGUGGGGAGCAAACAGG